GAUGAACGCUGGCGGCGUGCCUAAUACAUGCAAGUCGAGCGAACAGACGAGGAGCUUGCUCCUCUGACGUUAGCGGCGGACGGGUGAGUAACACGUGGAUAACCUACCUAUAAGACUGGGAUAACUUCGGGAAACCGGAGCUUAUCCCGGAUAACCUGCUGAAACGCAGGGGUCAACAGUGAAAGACGGUCUUGCUGUCACUUAUAGAUGGAUCCGCGCCGCAUUAGCUAGUUGGUAAGGUAACGGCUUACCAAGGCAACGAUGCGUAGCCGACCUGAGAGGGUGAUCGGCCACACUGGAACUGAGACACGGUCCAGACUCCUACGGGAGGCAGCAGUAGGGAAUCUUCCGCAAUGGGCGAAAGCCUGACGGAGCAACGCCGCGUGAGUGAAGAAGGUCUUCGGAUCGUAAAACUCUGUUAUUAGGGAAGAACAAAUGUGUAAGUAACUAUGCACGUCUUGACGGUACCUAAUCAGAAAGCCACGGCUAACUACGUG
RNAcentral lists this ribosomal RNA (497 nucleotides) under uncultured bacterium. RNAcentral's name for it is "partial 16S ribosomal RNA". It matches the Rfam family "Bacterial small subunit ribosomal RNA", at positions 28 to 507 of the family's 1533-position model. The record is from RNAcentral.